GGCAGUGCUAAACCGCUGUGCCACCCAGGCUGCCUAUGACCUUCCUUCUUAUGUAUUAUGAUGUCAGGUGGAAUAUUCUCUUUCCUCUUUUUUAAGUAAUCUCUACACUCAAUGUGGGGCUGGAACUCAUGACUGCAAGAUCAAGAAUCACGUGCUGAACCGACUAGGCCUGAGGGGGGCCUCAAGAAUAUUCUCUAGAGAUUUGUGAAAGGGUAAAUGAAUCAAACUGGAGCUUCUAUGUGCAUCUUUCGUUUGUUCAUGCUAAAAUACACACAGUUGCUUUCUUUAAUUUGUGCUUCUCUGCUGCUCUGUAUUCAGCUUUCCUGCAUGUUCUCUAGACAAAUCUAAAUUGGAAGAAGCUUUGAAAGCAUCUAAAUCCAUAGUCCUUGGGGAGAGAAAGAAGAGGAACAGAACAGCCUUGCUAUCCUGGGACAUAUCUGCUGGAGAUUUCCACAGAUCAUACUUCUCUGGGCUUUCGUUGCUCUAUCUUCUACCUUUGUAUGGUCUUCUCUUGCAUAUAUUUAUGCAUAGGCCUUCCUGCAGCUUUGCUUCUGCAUUUAGUACUUCCAGGAGUUUCUCAAAAUCAGGAUGAUACACAUCUGUUGAAUUGCAACAUUGUGAGAGGAUGGUGAAGAAACUAAGAUCUGAGAGAUUGGUGUGCUUAUUGCUACUGUGGUACUGUUGCUACUCUAGACCGUUUUAGAGGAUGAGGAGAGACGAGGCCUUUCAUUCAUUGCUGGUGGGAAUGCAAAAUGAUAAACAUUCCCUGGAAUACAGUUGGUGGCAGUUUCUUAUACAACUAAACAUACUGUUACCAGAUGAUCCAGCACUACUCUCACUGGUAUUUAUCCAAAGAAGAUGGAAAUUUAUAUCCAAGAGCAAGUCUGCACACAGAUAUUUAUAGCAACUUUAUUUAUAAUUGCUAAAACUUGGAAGAAACCUAGAUGUUCUUCAGUAGGUGAAUGGACAAGUAAACUGUGUUACGUACAAUGGAAUAUUAUUCA
This is a long non-coding RNA of Canis lupus familiaris (dog), 1004 nucleotides long. RefSeq lists it as uncharacterized. NCBI's taxonomy places the organism in Eukaryota, Metazoa, Chordata, Mammalia, Carnivora, Canidae. The transcript has 5 exons. The record is from RefSeq and is a predicted model, not a curated record.